RNAcentral lists this ribosomal RNA (1668 nucleotides) under Triticum aestivum (bread wheat). RNAcentral describes it as "partial small subunit ribosomal RNA". The record is from RNAcentral. Lineage: Eukaryota; Viridiplantae; Streptophyta; Magnoliopsida; Poales; Poaceae.
AUGUUGUAUGCUAUGGAAUUUGAUGAAUGGGUGUCGGUGAACAACAGUGAGAUCUGGGACGUGCUUGCCUCAGGAGAAUCAACUCAUCAUGUUCAUGCAUCCUUGCUGCUAAGCUAUCACGUUAUGGAUAAAUACUUGAAGUUAUGCUUUGCUUAUUGUGCAACCUUUCCAAAAGGUCACAAGAUAGCUAAAGAAGAUCUAGCUCACCAAUGGAUUGCUCUUGGACUUGUUGAGCCGUCAAGGACAUUCUCUGAUAUACAAACCAGUCAUAAAUAUAUUCGUCAUCUUUUUGGCAUGUGCUUCCUUGAACAUCCAAGGUCACAAUGGACUUAUAUGGACGUCGAUAAUGGAUUCUUGAUCAUGCAUGACCUGGUGCACGAUCUCGCAAGAUCAUUUCUGGCUGAUAAAAUUAUUGUAGAGAGUCCUGCCUGCCAAUAUGCAUGGCUGACAGAUCAUAGAAAGCUAUUCAAGUCAUCAAUGAAUCCACUCACCAAGCUAUUUAUGUCAUCAAUGAAUCCACUUGCCAAGCUAUUUAAGUCAUCAGUGACUCCACUCGCCAAGAUAAGGGCACUGCAUUUUCUCGACCGUGCUUACUUGCAGCUUAAUGGUGAAGCUUUUUCACCGGCUAAAUGCCUCCUUGUCCUGGAUUUAAGCAGAUGUUGUGCACAAAAGCUGCCUGAUUCUAUGGGUCAACUGAGACAGUUGAGGUAUCUCGAUGUUUCAUGGAACCCCGAGUUUACUGAAUCUUCUGAAUACCAAGCAUCACCGGAGUCUAUAUUGAUACCGAAAGCCCUGGGUUCCCUUAAUGAACUCCAAUAUUUGAAUUUAUCAGGUCGCGGAAGACCCAUAGGGCUGCCAGAGGUCAUCAGCAAACUCACGGAACUCCGGUAUUUGAAUAUAUCUCAUUGCAAGGGUUAUUAUUUAUUGGACAUCCCAUCAGCAAACCAAAGUUUCAUUGACUGUAUCGGUACCCUUCCUAAUCUGGAGCAGCUGGACAUGUCUUUUAAUAACUAUGGUUUCUGUGUACCUGAAAGUUUCAGCAGGCUCAAGAAGCUGAACCUCUCCGGCUGCCAGUACAUUGCUAGCCUUCCAGAAAAUGUGGGGAAAGUGGAUAUUCCAAGGCUUUUUGGCUUGUUGUUCCCGCAAAAGGGAGGGUUUCCUGUGCGUGUGGUUGAUAGUGAAUCUAGCAGCAGUCUUGUCUGGCUUAAGCAUACAAAUCCUGAUGUUUUGGGGAUCGCCGAUCUUGAAAAUGUGAGGUCCGUGGAAGAGGCACGCAGUAUAAGGUUGAUGGAAAAACAGAGAAUUAAAGAAUUGUCAUUGCAGUGGAGCGGAGGUGUGAGUUCUGUGGAACACAUGGAGUUGCUAACAGAGCUAGUGCCACCAAGCUCUGUAAAGAAUUUCAAGAUAACACGUUACAAGGAUGUCAUGUUUCCGCACUGGUUUAUGCAUAUAAACAAAUAUCUUCCUAAUCUUGUGAGUUUGGAGAUGUGGGGUGUGCUUUGCCACAGCCUACCAACAACACUCGUCCCACUACCCAACCUACGAAAGAUUGUUCUCAGCAACAUGCAUAACCUGGAAGAGUUCAACACAGCAUGCUCUAUAGGCGAGGAUGGUGCAAAUGAGCUCACGUUGGCUAAACUUGAGUAUCUGGCGUAUAUCACGUGCUGA